This 393-nucleotide ribosomal RNA is filed under the name uncultured bacterium. Its description in RNAcentral is "partial 16S ribosomal RNA". It matches the Rfam family "Bacterial small subunit ribosomal RNA", at positions 523 to 918 of the family's 1533-position model. The record is from RNAcentral.
AUACGGAGGACGCGAGCGUUAUCCGGAUUCAUUGGGUUUAAAGGGAGCGCAGGCGGAGAUGCAAGCGUGACGUCAAAUUUCGGGGCUCAACCCCGUCUCGCGUCGCGAACUGCGUCCCUUGGUUGCGGGAAGGGGAGGCGGAACUCGUGGUGUAGCGGUGAAAUGCAUAGAUAUCACGAAGAACUCCGAUCGCGAAGGCAGCCUUCCGGCCCGUCAACGACGCUCAUGCUCGAAGGUGCGGGUAUCAAACAGGAUUAGAUUCCCUGGUAGUCCGCACAGUAAACGAUGGACACCCGCGGUUUGGCCUGUAUGGCUGAGCCGCCAAGCGAAAGCGUUAAGUGUCCCACCUGGGGAGUACGCCGGCAACGGUGAAACUUAAAGGAAUUGACGGGG